RNAcentral lists this ribosomal RNA (737 nucleotides) under uncultured Corynebacterium sp. RNAcentral's name for it is "bacterial SSU rRNA". It matches the Rfam family "Bacterial small subunit ribosomal RNA", at positions 28 to 776 of the family's 1533-position model. The record is from RNAcentral. Lineage: Bacteria; Bacillati; Actinomycetota; Actinomycetes; Mycobacteriales; Corynebacteriaceae.
GACGAACGCUGGCGGCGUGCUUAACACAUGCAAGUCGAACGGAAAGGCCUGCAGCUUGCUGCGGGUACUCGAGUGGCGAACGGGUGAGUAACACGUGGGUGAUCUGCCUUGCACUUCGGGAUAAGCUUGGGAAACUGGGUCUAAUACCGGAUAGGACAGCUGUUUAGUGUCAGUUGUGGAAAGUUUUUUCGGUGCAAGAUGAGCUCGCGGCCUAUCAGCUUGUUGGUGGGGUAAUGGCCUACCAAGGCGUCGACGGGUAGCCGGCCCGAGAGGGUGUACGGCCACAUUGGGACUGAGAUACGGCCCAGACUCCUACGGGAGGCAGCAGUGGGGAAUAUUGCACAAUGGGCGGAAGCCUGAUGCAGCGACGCCGCGUGGGGGAUGAAGGCCUUCGGGUUGUAAACUCCUUUCGACAGGGACGAAGCGUAAGUGACGGUACCUGUAUAAGAAGCACCGGCUAACUACGUGCCAGCAGCCGCGGUAAUACGUAGGGUGCGAGCGUUGUCCGGAAUUACUGGGCGUAAAGAGCUCGUAGGUGGUUUGUCGCGUCGUCUGUGAAAUUCCGGGGCUUAACUCCGGGCGUGCAGGCGAUACGGGCUGACUUGAGUGCUGUAGGGGAGACUGGAAUUCCUGGUGUAGCGGUGAAAUGCGCAGAUAUCAGGAGGAACACCGAUGGCGAAGGCAGGUCUCUGGGCAGUAACUGACGCUGAGGAGCGAAAGCAUGGGUAGCGAACAGG